UGCGCCCCGCGGCCUUAGGGCCCUCGACCCACGCGCGCGUGCGGGGGGUGGGGCUGCGCAGGCGCACUGCGCCCGGCCUCCCACCUCACCUGCGGCGCCAAGGGGUUAAAGCGGCGCGGGGAGCCGCGGGCGGGAGGCCGCGGGCUGGUUCCCGGGCUCAUUCAUUCGCUAUUGAUCUGUUCUUCCUGCAGACAGCCUGGCGCUGCUGGGUACCGGGCGCCGUUCGGGGCGCCGCAGGUGCAGCGGUGAACGAAGCAAAGUUCCUGCCCUGUGUCAACAGGAGGAACACAGAGAGACUGGCAGAGACACAGGCAGAGGGAGAAGCAGGCUCCCUGCAGGGAAUCUGAUGUGGGACUCAACCCCAGGACCCUGGGAUCAGGACCUGAGCCGAAGACAGACACUCAACCACUGAGCUACCCAGGCUGCACCAGUAGCUCCGUGCAUAUCAUGAAAACACCAAAGAACCCGAGGAUCUAGAGCCUCUCCUCAGUGUCAUGAAGCCUAUACGGUGCACUUCUUUGGGACAGUUUGGGCAAUACACGGGACCCCGGGAUCACGCCCUGAGUGGAAGGCAGACGCUCAACCACUGAGCCACCCAGGCGCCCACACGCCAGCGUGUGCAUCCGUAGGCCUGGUCCUGCGAAGCAAGGAAACCCCCGUGCACCAGGCUGCCGGGAG
Nyctereutes procyonoides (raccoon dog) is the source of this 678-nucleotide long non-coding RNA. RefSeq lists it as uncharacterized. NCBI's taxonomy places the organism in Eukaryota, Metazoa, Chordata, Mammalia, Carnivora, Canidae. The record is from RefSeq and is a predicted model, not a curated record. The transcript has 4 exons.